Molecule: small nucleolar RNA, 151 nt
Organism: Prosopis cineraria
Lineage: Eukaryota; Viridiplantae; Streptophyta; Magnoliopsida; Fabales; Fabaceae
Product: small nucleolar RNA snoR2/U65
Exons: 1
Source: RefSeq, a predicted model, not a curated record
GGUCCAAAUGUCCCAUCUCCGGUAGCCAUCAGAGUAAUGACCGGUGAUGCUAUGAUUGGACGCAGAGCAAUACUAUUCCCUUUCCACAUCAUAAGGAACUGUGGUUCCUAUUUCCUUUGGAUCCAUGGUGUUGAUUUUUGGGAUUACAUAU